RNAcentral lists this ribosomal RNA (460 nucleotides) under uncultured bacterium. RNAcentral's name for it is "partial 16S ribosomal RNA". It matches the Rfam family "Bacterial small subunit ribosomal RNA", at positions 338 to 795 of the family's 1533-position model. The record is from RNAcentral.
CCUACGGGAGGCAGCAGUGAGGAAUAUUGGUCAAUGGACGAGAGUCUGAACCAGCCAAGUAGCGUGAAGGAUGACUGCCCUAUGGGUUGUAAACUUCUUUUAUAUGGGAAUAAAACGUUCCACGUGUGGGAUUUUGUAUGUACCAUAUGAAUAAGGAUCGGCUAACUCCGUGCCAGCAGCCGCGGUAAUACGGAGGAUCCGAGCGUUAUCCGGAUUUAUUGGGUUUAAAGGGAGCGUAGGUGGGUUGUUAAGUCAGUUGUGAAAGUUUGCGGCUCAACCGUAAAAUUGCAAUUGAUACUGGCAGCCGGGAGUACAGUUGAGGUAGGCGAAAUUCGUGGUGUACCGGUGACAUGCUUAGAUAUCACGAAGAACUACGAUUGCGAAGGCAUCCUAAUAAACUGCCACGGACAUUGAUGCUCGAAAGUGUGGGUAUCAAACAGGAGUAGAUACACGGGUAGUC